This 402-nucleotide ribosomal RNA is filed under the name uncultured bacterium. Its description in RNAcentral is "bacterial SSU rRNA". It matches the Rfam family "Bacterial small subunit ribosomal RNA", at positions 356 to 773 of the family's 1533-position model. The record is from RNAcentral.
GGGGAAUAUUGCGCAAUGGGGGAAACCCUGACGCAGCAAUACCGCGUGAGUGAAGAAGGUUUUCGGAUCGUAAAGCUCUGUUAUUGGGGAAGAAAAAAAGACGGUACCCAAGACGAAGGUCCCGGCUAACUACGUGCCAGCAGCCGCGGUAAUACGUAGGGGACAAGCGUUGUCCGGAUUUACUGGGCGUAAAGGGCACGCAGGCGGUUUUUUAAGUCAGAUGUGAAAGGUACCGGCUCAACCGGUGACAUGCAUUUGAAACUGAAAGACUUGAGUAUUGGAGAGGCAAGUGGAAUUCCUAGUGUAGCGGUGAAAUGCGUAGAUAUUAGGAGGAACACCGGUGGCGAAGGCGGCUUGCUGGACAAAUACUGACGCUGAGGUGCGAAAGCGUGGGGAGCAAAC